This is a long non-coding RNA of Sorex araneus (European shrew), 2421 nucleotides long. RefSeq lists it as uncharacterized. The record is from RefSeq and is a predicted model, not a curated record. The transcript has 3 exons. Lineage: Eukaryota; Metazoa; Chordata; Mammalia; Eulipotyphla; Soricidae.
UCGCCUACGCUGCCGCCGCCGCCGCCGCCGCCGGGACCCAGCGCGCGCGGGAGCCGCCGGCGGCGCCGACCGGAAGAAGCCGAGAGGCCGCGGAAGGCCGGCGGCGGGCGGGGGUGCGGGGGUGCGGGACGGGCCCCUCCCCCCGCCUCUGCGCCCCGGCGCCGCCUCCGCGCCCGCCACCUCCCCCCGCCGGGGUCCCGGGGCCGGGGCCGAGCCUCCUGCGGGGUCCCGGGGCCGGCGGGGCAGAGGCCCGCGCACCUGGACGCGGCGCCCGGGGGGUCCGAGGCAGCCCUCCCCCCCCCGCCGCCCGCUUUCCAGGCCCAGAGGGGGUGGACCGACAGCGGCUCACCAAAAAGUCCAAGGGAGCAUUUUUCCUUCAGCCCGCCUCCUGCAACCUCCAAGGUAACCAGAUUCAUCUUAGAGCCAGUUCUCUCGCCGUUCACGGCUACCUCCUCCUGCUGGGGCUGCGGGAAGCUUUCCAGAACAGAGCAGAACUGUCAGCUGUGAAGUCCUGACCUCCUGUGUUGCCUAGAAAUCACGAAUUUCCUCAUUUACUGGAUAACUAGUGAGUGCUUGCUGGUUAGUCUGAGCGCCCCACUGCCGCAUAGAGUCUCUACCCUCAGACACUUACAAGCCCCUUUAGAGGUGAGACGGGGCAGGGAGGGAGCUGGAGUGAUAGCGCAGUGGGUAGGGCACUUGCCUUGCACGUGGCUGACCCCAGUUCGAAUCCCAGCAUCCCAUAUGGUCCCCUGAGCACCGUCAGGAGUGAUUCCUGAGUGCAGAGCCAGGAGUGACCCCUGUGCAUCUCCGGGUGUGACCCAAAAAGAAAAGAAAAAAAGACAUUAGAGGUGAGACGGUCCUAGGAGGAAUUAGAAAUACAAGGUAGGGGGGCCGGAGCGAUAGCACAGUGGGUAGGGCGUUUGCCUUGCACGCGGCCGACCCAGGUUCGAUCCCUGGCAUCCCAUAUGGUCCCCCAAGCACUGCCAGCAGUAAUUCCUGAGUGCAAAAGCCAGGAGUAACCCCUGAGCAUCGCUGGGUGUGACCCAAAAAAGCAAAAAAAAAAAAAGAAAUACAAGGUAGGGGCUGCAGAGAGUGCUCUGAAGGCUGGGGCAAGCAUGUGGGAGUUCUGGAAGCAAUCCCCGGCACCACACAGCCCUCAGAGCACCCACCCCUAUCCCACAGGGCAGUAAGUCAGGAGUAGCCCCUUAACACUGCCUGGUGGGGCUCCCCACUGAAAAUACCAUGUUCUUUCUUAUGGUGGGGGGUGGGGCGGGUUCUGGGACCACACCUGGCAGGGCGUGGAGCGACCACGUGGGACGCCAGGAAUUGAACCUGGGUCGGCCAACAUCAAGGCAAGCACCCUCCCCGCUGUACUAGCACUCGGGCCCAUGAUUUUAAAAAAGCUGCUCGAACACACGGCAUCCUUCAGAGGAGUAUCGCGCUCGGAAUGACAGGGAAGAGAUUUCAUCAGGAGGAUUUCUUCAUUUCAGGCACUGGAAUUUAGAGAGCCCUGAGUGAUGGGUGUAUUUAGACACCCGCUGUCACAGCUUGUGAGAAUCAUCAAAUUUGGGCGUUGAGGGGGAAUUCCCUACAGGCCGGGGCUUGUGCCUUCAGCCCAAAGUGAAACUGAGCGCGCGUCUCUUCCAGAAACACGUCUACAUUUAUUUAAACUACAGAUCGGUGACGGAGCUAUGUAGUGGAUUAGAGAUGAAAUAAAAUAGAUUAUGCGUAACGUAAAUUCUAUGUGCAUUUUAUUCUAACUCCAUUUUAUAUACAAACCCAAUCUAUUCAGCCAAGUGUGGAUCAGGUAUGAGUACAAUGGUAGUUUGGCUUGGGGUGGUUGCACUGUUGUGUCUGUACUGAAUGUUCAGACACUAUAAUGUACAAGAGGGGCCAGAGUGACAGUACAGUGAUUGGGGGCCUUGCACAUGACCUGGAUCUAGUCACAUGGUCCCCUGAGCACAGAGCCAGGACUAAGCCCUGAGCACUGCCAUUUGGGGUUUGAUUUUUUUUUUUUUUGGCACCCAAACACUAAGGAGAAAAAGGAAUGUGUGUACGUGUGUGUGUGUGUGUAUAAUGUACAACUACACAGCAUCUGCACUGUAUUAGAUAUGAGUAGUCUAGAGAUACAUGAAAUAGAUCAUUGUAUGAACCCCCUUGUAAGGAACAAGAGCAUCCAGAAUUUCAGAUCAACCGUGAUUGGGGAACCAGGAUUGCCAUACAGACAGAAGCUUGCGUGACCUGUGAGCAGAGCAGUUGCCUUGCACAUGUGAGGUUCUGUGUUCGAUUGCUGGCACCCCUUCACCACCACCCCCCAAGAAAUAAACAGCAUGAUGUAUCUAGCAAUUCGAGUGGUUCUCUGAUUGAAUGAUUGUAUGCCUACGAGGUGCCAGGCGCCAUCCCGAGCACUGCUGUUCCAUC